GGGGGGUCUUUCAUGAUUCCUCAGAACUCUGCUUUCCCCCUUGCCCUGGCCCCCAGUUUCUUCAGCCAUGUCCUGGAAUCUUUGGGAGCACCUCAGAGGCAGUGCUUAUACCAUGUGUGAAUAUUCUUCGGCUGUAAGGGGGCAGUGUGAUGGUGAGCACUGAAAGCCGAAUUUCAGGAGACCGCGACGGCUGGAAGGAUGAUUGGAAAGGGACAGGUUUGAAAUGUGCUAACUCAGAUGGCAAGGAUUGCAUGUGGGGUUCAGACAGUCAGUUGGGCAAGUACCCAGUUAGGGAGCCCUGGGCUUCUAACAGUUCUCAUAAGGACCUGGACGUCUGCACUUCCUUUUGGUGGCAUUUGCUUUAUUUACAGUUGUUACAUUUAAUCACUUAAGUCGAAAAAAAAAAAGGAAACCAACAAGCAUCCAGGAAACUCAAAGCAGGGUAUCGAGGAUGCAGCAGGGAGUGGCCAGGUGGUAGAUGGUGACCUCUGUUCUCAUGGUGGAAGCACUCACUUGUGUCUUAGGCAAGUGUGAGGCACUAGCAGUUUUCCCUUUUUGCCAGUCCCCCCCCCCCACUGAUUUAGGUAUGCUGCCACCAGGUGGCAGUGAUAUCUCAGCAUCAGCAACCUGACUUCAUCCCUGGGGCUCUUUGCCACUCAUUCUGGAUGAGGUUGGAGGGAGGCAUGCUCUUCUUCCCAGUAAAAUGGCAAAGAAACAGAAGGUGUUUUUGAGGUACUGCUGGCUAAUGAAAUGAGCUUAGAGACCCACACGCAAAUCCUGGGUCUGUAGCAGUCUCGUGUAGUGUGCAUAGAUUCCAGCAAGUGUUGAUUCAGAUGCAAUUACUGAGUGCCGACAAUGGGCAAGGCACGGCUGGGUGCUUUCCUGUUCAUUGACAGCAGAGGACGAGGCUCCUAGGGGUCGAAUGACUCGCCCAUAGUCACGCAGUGCUUUCGUUACACUACCUCCAGCUACAUCCAGCUGCACCUGACUCUGAGCUUUGGACCCUUCCGCACAUUCAGGAUGUGUCCUGCUUCUCCUGCCUGCUACAGCCACUCUCUCCAUCUUUACCACCAACCAUUUUGGGGUUUGCUUUUUUCUUUCUUUUCUUCUUUUCUUUUUUUGCUUUUUAGGGCCACACCCACAGCACAUGAAAUUUCCCAGGCUAGGGGUUGAAUUGGAGCUGCAACUGGCAGCCUACGUCACAGCCACAGCAACACAGGAUCCGAGCUGCAUCUGCGACCUAUACCACAGGUCACAGCAACACCAGAUCCUUAACCCACUGAGCGAGGCCAGGGAUCAAACCCACAUCCUCAUGGAUACUAAUCAGGCUCAUUACUGCUGAGCCACAACACGAACUUCUGGGGUUUUCUUUUUCUUUUCUCUAUCUUUAACCUUUUUUAAAAAAAAAAAAAAUCAUUAGAACAUCAAAAUUCAGGACUUGUGAGAUCCCACAGCCUUAGCUUAGAUUUUCAAAUUUUCUACUUGCUGUUUUUGUCAUUUUUUUCCCCCUCCACUAAUACAUGUGCCCAUGUGGUAGCUGUGGUGCCCACAGAGAAUACAUUCUUCUGUUUGGUAAAAAACAUGGCCUCUUAGAUGCUGUGUUCCCAUUGAUUUCGUGUUUUUAUCCACCUGUACCGGUACCUGUCCUGCCCUGUGUCGUAUCACCUCCAAGGGGACCAAAAUUGGUAUUUGGGGGCUUGAAAACCUUGUUAUUCCAGUGGUAUGUGGCUUCCUAUCAGAUUUGUUUCUGCCACGCCACAGUGGAAACUCCCGUGGCAUGUCUUUGAGAUGGGGCGGCAGGAGGGCGGCAGCCUGUCCUGGGAGGGCUCCGCCCGGCGCCCUCCUCCUUUAUGCACAUUCGCAUGAAUCCUCGCAGUGGGGCUGCAAGGUCUUUAUUGAUGAGGGGACCAGGGAGACAAAGGCCAUUGCCACGGACAGCUGCUCCUAGGGGUGUCACACUCUCGCUUCUACAUAAGCCCUGGGCUGAGCCCUGCUGGGGUCCCCACUGCAGGGUGAGGAACUGGGAGUCUGAGGUGAAGGCCGUGGGGCUGGGAGCCUGGGUUGUCUCACCCCCUGGACCCCACCCCCCACCCCCCACAGGGAGAGAGAACCCCUGGUGCCAAGGUUCCCAGGGAGCCAGGUGCGAGGGACAGAAGGCCCUGGAGCUGACGCCCCGCCCCUGCAGGGGAGCUCACUUGGCGGGAAGGGCGGGCCCUCCAGUGGGUGCCGUCACCUGCAGCCUUGACCUUCCUCCUGGACCCACCUCCUUCUCCCUCUUGGGCAUAGGACCCUGAGGCCUUUCCUCCUGCAGGACAAGCCACUUCUAGAAGUCCUGCAACCAAGGCCCCUCUGACCACCACAGGUCCCCCCAGCACACGUACCCCAGUAGGGCAGGUGGCCUCACCACCCUCCUGUGCCAGCAGGUGCCAACACCUUGCUCGCCGCCCUGCUGAAUCCCCUCAACUGGGGAGGGCGGUGUCCUCCUGUUUCCCGUUUCACAGUUAAAUGACUUGCUCAAGGGCACGCAGCUUUCAGAUGGCAGAGCUGAGGUUUGAACAUCAUUUCAGUUCCAGAGCCCAGGAUGGUAACCACUGGCAUCAUGGCCCCCACUGCACGUGCGUGUGUCUGCGCGUGCGUGCGUGUGUGCGCGUAUGCGUGUGCAUGUUCCUGUGAGCGUGUGUGUGCACACGCACAUACACAGACACACGCACAUGCCGACACUUCCUCCGUCACACCUGUGGGCUUGUGCUCCUGCCUGUACCAUUCGCCUGUCUGUCCUCCUGCCUUUCGUGUCGGGGGCUGUGGUAUUUUUGUCUCGUGAGGCAUUUCACGAGAGCUUUGCGUUUUUCCCUGAGUCUCGCAGAC
This 2865-nucleotide long non-coding RNA is filed under the name Sus scrofa (pig). RNAcentral's name for it is "lncRNA (ENSSSCG00040001427.1)". Lineage: Eukaryota; Metazoa; Chordata; Mammalia; Artiodactyla; Suidae. The record is from RNAcentral.